AUGACCGUGAUGCUUCGGGAUAUUUCUAUGAUCUCCGAUCUUCCUAUCGAGGGGAAUCCUCUUUUUAUGAGCACUGAUUCUGAUUGGUGGCGUGAGCAGAUGCAUGCCCUUAUCGGUAUGGUUCCUCUGGAGCCUCCGGAACCAGUAGUAGAAGACAAGAAGAAGGAAAGAGUCACAGACUAUGUUUGCUGA
RNAcentral lists this ribosomal RNA (192 nucleotides) under Triticum aestivum (bread wheat). RNAcentral's name for it is "partial small subunit ribosomal RNA". The record is from RNAcentral. Lineage: Eukaryota; Viridiplantae; Streptophyta; Magnoliopsida; Poales; Poaceae.